ACAACGCGCUUUUGGGUAUCCUCUUUCUCUGCUCGUAAACGUUGAUUCCUCACUUUUGCCAAGAUCUAAAACUUUUUUUUUCUUUGCUUCGACCGGUUCCACUCCUGCUGGUAUAUUUAGUAGAAAGACCUGGCGAUAUCGAUUUGGUUUUUAAUUAGGGGACUUCGUUUUGUGGGUGGUUCGAGGGUAGAUGGAGAGCUACGUGAACGACAGGUUUGGCGGGGUGAAGGCGAAGAACUCGUCGGAGGAGGCGCUCCGGCGAUGGCGGAAGCUGUGCUCCGUGGUGAAGAACCCCAAGCGGCGCUUCCGCUUCACCGCCAACCUCUCCAAGCGAUCCGAGGCCGAGGCUAUGAAACGCACAAACCAGGAGAAGUUGCGCAUUGCUGUUUUGGUUUCCAAAGCUGCACUUCAGUUCAUACAGGGUGUCAAAGUAUAUGGUGAAUACGUUGUACCUGAUGAAGUUAAGGCAGCUGGGUUUCAGAUUUGUGCUACUGAGUUGGGAUCCAUUGUGGAAGGCCAUGACGUAAAGAAGUUGAAGAUGAAUGGCGGUGUGGAUGGCAUUGCAGACAAGCUCUCCACAUCAACAACUAAUGGGCUCACUCCUACUGAGGAUGCAUUGAAGCGCAGACAGGAGGUUUAUGGAGUAAAUAGGUUUACUGAAAGCAAGGUUCGGAGUUUUUGGGUAUUUGUAUGGGAAGCACUUCAAGACACAACACUUAUCAUUCUUGCUGUGUGCGCUGUUGUAUCCCUGAUCGUUGGCCUUGCCAUGGAAGGAUGGCCUAAAGGUUCUCAUGAUGGCCUCGGAAUUGUUGCAAGCAUCCUUUUAGUUGUACUUGUCACUGCAACAAGUGACUAUCGGCAGUCAUUACAGUUCAAGCAUUUGGAUCAGGAGAAAAAGAAAAUUUCAAUACAAGUUACAAGGAAUGGGUUCAGACAGAAGAUUUCUAUUUAUGAUCUUCUUCCUGGUGAUAUCUUGCAUCUAUCAAUUGGAGAUCAAGUCCCUGCUGAUGGAUUGUUUGUAAGUGGAUUUUCUUUAUUGAUCAAUGAAUCCAGCCUGACAGGGGAGAGUGAGCCUGUUUAUGUGAAUGCAGAGAAUCCUUUUCUUCUAUCUGGGACUAAAGUCCAAGAUGGUUUUUGCAAGAUGCUGGUAACCACUGUUGGCAUGAGAACUCAGUGGGGAAAGCUGAUGGCUACACUUAGUGAAGGAGGAGAUGAUGAAACUCCAUUGCAGGUCAAACUUAAUGGAGUUGCAACUGUCAUUGGAAAAAUUGGUCUGUUCUUCGCAGUCGUGACAUUUGCAGUGCUAGCGCAAGGUCUUAUGAGCCGGAAGUAUCAUGAGGGUCUGCUUUUGAGUUGGUCAGGAGAUGAUGCAUUGCAAAUGUUGGAGUAUUUUGCUAUUGCAGUUACCAUAGUUGUGGUUGCAGUUCCUGAAGGGUUGCCUUUAGCUGUGACCUUGAGUCUUGCUUUUGCCAUGAAGAAGAUGAUGAAUGAUAAAGCACUGGUCCGCCACCUUGCUGCCUGUGAGACUAUGGGCUCAGCUACAACCAUUUGCAGUGACAAGACAGGAACACUGACGACCAAUCAUAUGACUGUUGUGAAAGCUUGUAUAUGCGGAAAUGUUCAGGAAGUAAGUUCUUCUAAGGAGAGUACUAGUUUGUGCUCCCAAAUUCCUGAUUUUGCAGUUGAAACUCUUCUGCAGUCCAUAUUUAGUAACACAGGUGGUGAAGUUGUGAUCAACCAAGAUGGCAAGCUUGAAAUCUUAGGAACACCAACUGAGAUUGCUUUAUUGGAAUUGGGCUUGUCACUAGGUGGAGAUUUUCAGGCACAGCGACAGGAAACCAAACUCAUCAAAGUGGAACCCUUUAAUUCUGCAAAAAAGAGAAUGGGAGUAGUACUCCAACUCCCUGAAGGAGGAUACCGUGCACACUGCAAAGGUGCCUCAGAACUCAUUUUGGCUGCCUGUGACAAGUUUAUAGAUCCGUCAGGUAAUGUUCUUCCCCUUGACAGAGCAGCAGUCAAUCAUUUCAAGGGUAUAAUUGAAAGCUUUGCUGGUGAAUCUCUUCGGACCAUAUGUCUUGCUUAUAAAGAAAUUGGAGAUGCUUUCUUGGCAAAGGAGCAAAUUCCAGUUGAGGGAUACACAUGUAUUGGAAUUGUAGGCAUCAAAGAUCCUGUCCGCCCAGGUGUGAAGGAGUCUGUUGCUGUUUGUAGGUCUGCUGGGAUUACUGUUAGAAUGGUCACGGGGGAUAACAUAAAUACAGCAAAAGCAAUUGCUCGAGAAUGUGGUAUCCUUACUGAUGAGGGUGUAGCUAUUGAAGGCCCUGAGUUCAGAGAGAAAAGUCUUGAAGAAUUACUUCAACUAAUUCCAAAAAUCCAGGUAAUGGCUAGAUCUUCUCCAUUAGAUAAACACAACCUAGUACAGCAUCUGCGCACUAUGUUUAAUGAAGUUGUUGCUGUGACUGGUGAUGGUACAAAUGAUGCUCCAGCACUACAUGAGGCAGAUAUUGGACUUGCAAUGGGCAUAGCAGGGACUGAGGUAGCUAAGGAGAGUGCUGAUGUCAUAAUUUUAGAUGACAAUUUUUCAACAAUUGUUACCGUGGCAAAAUGGGGACGUUCUGUAUACGUAAACAUUCAAAAGUUUGUACAGUUUCAGCUCACUGUUAAUGUGGUUGCUCUCAUAGUUAAUUUCUCCUCGGCCUGCUUGACUGGAAAUGCUCCACUAACUGCCGUUCAGCUGCUUUGGGUCAACAUGAUCAUGGAUACUCUGGGGGCACUUGCAUUAGCCACUGAACCACCGCAGGAUGACUUGAUGGAAAGAUCACCAGUUGGAAGGACAGGAAAAUUCAUUAGCAACGUGAUGUGGAGAAAUAUCUUUGGGCAAGCAUUUUAUCAGUUUAUCAUAAUGUGGUAUCUCCGGGCACAAGGGGAAGGGCUAUUUAGGCUUGAGGGCCCUGGUGCUGAUCUUACACUGAAUACAAUUAUAUUCAAUUCAUUCGUCUUUUGUCAGGUUUUCUUUGAAUAUGGCACAUGAAGUUCCCUAACAAACCUAACCAAAGAAAUUAUCUUUCAAUAAUCUGACUUCUUUAAUAUAUAAAAAAAAACUACUUUUCAUGCUUCCAAGUAAAUAAAAGCAGGUGUUCAAUGAGAUAAGCUCUAGAGAGAUGGAGAAGAUAAAUGUGUUCAAGGGCAUUCUGCAGAACUAUGUCUUUGUGUGCGUUCUUACAAGCACUAUCAUCUUUCAGGUCAUAAUUGUUCAAUUUCUUGGUGAUUUUGCAAACACGACACCACUUACCAGAUUGCAGUGGUUUGUAAGCGUGUUCAUUGGUUUUCUGGGCAUGCCAAUAGCUGCAAUCGUCAAGUUAAUCCCUGUGGGGAGCUAAGUAAAGAUAAAUGCAAUGCAGCACAUGGGAACAUUACUUGGUAUUUUUGCUUUAUUUCCCAAAGCCAUUAUCAUGACUGUCACACCUCAA
This is a non-coding RNA of Elaeis guineensis (African oil palm), 3467 nucleotides long. The record is from RefSeq and is a predicted model, not a curated record. Lineage: Eukaryota; Viridiplantae; Streptophyta; Magnoliopsida; Arecales; Arecaceae.